GAGAAAUUCAUCUUUCCCGGUGGAGGUACUAUGUUCCCCAACGGUGUUGGCAAAUAUGUUGAUUUAAUGCAAGAUAUGAUCCCAGAAAUGAAAGAUGGGACCAUUCGAACUGCCAUUGAUACUGGUUGUGGGGUUGCUAGCUGGGGUGGUGACUUGCUUGAUCGUGGGAUUCUAACUCUUUCUCUUGCACCAAGAGACAACCAUGAAGCUCAGGUUCAAUUUGCUCUGGAGCGUGGUAUUCCUGCAAUUCUCGGUGUUAUUUCUACUCAG
RNAcentral lists this small RNA (270 nucleotides) under Vigna angularis var. angularis. Its description in RNAcentral is "Non-protein coding transcript". The record is from RNAcentral. Lineage: Eukaryota; Viridiplantae; Streptophyta; Magnoliopsida; Fabales; Fabaceae.